AUUGAACGCUGGCGGCAUGCCUUACACAUGCAAGUCGAACGGCAGCACGGGAGCAAUCCUGGUGGCGAGUGGCGAACGGGUGAGUAAUGUAUCGGAACGUGCCUAGUUGUGGGGGAUAACGUAGAGAAAUUUACGCUAAUACCGCAUACGAUCUAUGGAUGAAAGCGGGGGAUCGCAAGACCUCGCGCAGUUAGAGCGGCCGAUAUCAGAUUAGGUUGUUGGUGGGGUAAAAGGUCACCAAGCCGACGAUCUGUAGCUGGUUAGGGAGAACGACCAGCGACACUGGGACUGAGACACGGCCCAGACUCCUACGGGAGGCAGCAGUGGGGAAUUUUGGACAAUGGGGGCAACCCUGAUCCAGCAAUGCCGCGUGCAGGAAGAAGGCCUUCGGGUUGUAAACUGCUUUUGUACGGAACGAAACGGUCCUUUCUAAUACAGAGGGCUAAUGACGGUACCGUAAGAAUAAGCACCGGCUAACUACGUGCCAGCAGCCGCCGCGG
RNAcentral lists this ribosomal RNA (500 nucleotides) under uncultured bacterium. RNAcentral's name for it is "partial 16S ribosomal RNA". It matches the Rfam family "Bacterial small subunit ribosomal RNA", at positions 30 to 523 of the family's 1533-position model. The record is from RNAcentral.